This 918-nucleotide unclassified non-coding RNA is filed under the name uncultured fungus. Its description in RNAcentral is "sequence contains 18S rRNA gene, ITS1, 5.8S rRNA gene, ITS2, 28S rRNA gene". Lineage: Eukaryota; Fungi. The record is from RNAcentral.
GCUGCCACGAAGUCUGGAUCGAAUGGUACGUGCGGCUCCACUGCGGUGUCUGCACGUUGAUGUUGCCGUAGCCCCGGUAGCUGCGAAGCAGGUUGUUGUUCAGCGCCGUGCCCGGCGUCAACUGCGUGGGGUCCUGGCCGGCCGCUGUCAGCGUCGUGCCGACAUCGAUCUGGUUCAGGUUGGUGGCGUUACCGUUCUGCGUGCCAGCAAGCGCGUCAUAUUGAUGAUGGCCGACGUAGGACACGUCGAUCGACGAGGACCACGGCAGCGCGUACUGCACGCCCAGGUUCCACUGCGUAUCCUUCGGAACCGCCGAGUCGUACUGGUUGACGGUGAUGCCGGGGACCGGUCCGAACUGGAGCGUGCUGCUCUGCAAGUCAGCGAGUCUCCCCCACUGCUGUGUCAAGCCUGUCGCCGUGGGCGGAUUGGCCACCGUGCCGAACGCCGUAUUGCCGUCUGGCCGAUCGAAGUAGAGGCCUGCCGAGCCCCGGACCACGAACUGCUGACGCCCCGUCACGUCGUACGCCGCACCAAACCGCGGACCGUACACCAUCGCCGGCCACGUGUAGCCGGCCUCGCUGAUGCCAUCGCCUGCGCGCACCAUUCCGUUGGCGAAGUCGCCGGUGCCGACGAUGACCUGGCCGAUGAGCGACGCCGUGUUCGUACCGAGCAGUGCACCGGUGCGUGGAUCCUUGGCCUGGCGAUUGGCCGCCGAGCAUGGAUUGACGUUGCCGGGGCACGCCGCUUCAUAGAGGAGCGGCGCAUUGGCCUGGCUCCACUUCUCCGGAAAGAAGUUCGCCACCUGCUGCAGGCUGUCCGUGUAGGGUCCCUGAUGGACGAAGCGCAUGCCGUAGUCGAGCGUCAGCUUGCGAUUCACCUUCCAGUUGUCCUGAAUGUACCCUUCGUUGUUCCAGUAGU